ACGUAGGGUGCGAGCGUUGUCCGGAAUUAUUGGGCGUAAAGAGCUCGUAGGCGGUGUGCCGCGUCGGCCGUGAAAACUUGGGGCUUAACUCUGAGCUUGCGGUCGAUACGGGCAUCACUGGAGUUCGGCAGGGGAGACUGGAAUUCCUGGUGUAGCGGUGAAAUGCGCAGAUAUCAGGAGGAACACCGGUGGCGAAGGCGGCGCUCUGGAACGUUCCUGACACUGAGGCUCGAAAGCGUGGGGAGCAAACAGGA
This 254-nucleotide ribosomal RNA is filed under the name uncultured prokaryote. RNAcentral describes it as "partial 16S ribosomal RNA". It matches the Rfam family "Bacterial small subunit ribosomal RNA", at positions 525 to 777 of the family's 1533-position model. The record is from RNAcentral.